Molecule: long non-coding RNA, 527 nt
Filed under: Gallus gallus (chicken)
Lineage: Eukaryota; Metazoa; Chordata; Aves; Galliformes; Phasianidae
Source: RNAcentral
GUCGCUUCCAAAAUGUUUCGUGGGAUAUGCUGGCAAACUAAAGAAAUGGGUGGAACAUGGUCCCUCAUCUGGUCUAUAGGCAGAAUUCCAGAACAAAUCAUCUCUGCUUUGGUGGAGACGAAAGAUGGCAUCACCAGACCAGGGCAAUCACAGAGGCACAGGCCAGGCUCCACAUACAGAGUCUGGAAGUGCUUCGUGCGGCCUGGUGUUGCAGACACCGACACCUUCUUAUCUCCAAGAAUUGUGUUGAUUGUCGAGCUUUUGCCAACAUUAGGGUAACCCACCAGUCCAACAUUUACUUCCCCAUCCUUCACCCUUGGUCCACUGUGCAGGGUUUUGAAUAUCUCCAGUAGCUCAUUUCUCUGUACCAGAUGGCUAAAGUUCUUGACGUUCCUGUUCUGCUCUUGCACUACGUGAUGCAUUGCAACAAUAUCAGUUCUGUUUUCCAUACUCUUUGGGGCGAUAGCAUUUACUUUGUCCCCACCUUCAUCUUCAGAACAGGUUUGCCAGUCAUCCUCCUCCUCAUC